GACGGAAAGACCCCGUGAACCUUUACUAUAGCUUGACACUGAACAUUGAAUUUUGAUGUGUAGGAUAGGUGGGAGCCUUUGAAGCAGUGACGCCAGUCAUUGUGGAGGCGACCUUGAAAUACCACCCUUUAACGUUUGAUGUUCUAACGAAGUGCCUGAAACGGGUACUCGGACAGUGUCUGGUGGGUAGUUUGACUGGGGCGGUCUCCUCCCAAAGCGUAACGGAGGAGCACGAAGGUUUGCUAAUGACGGUCGGACAUCGUCAGGUUAGUGCAAUGGUAUAAGCAAGCUUAACUGCGAGACAGACAAGUCGAGCAGGUGCGAAAGCAGGUCAUAGUGAUCCGGUGGUUCUGAAUGGAAGGGCCAUCGCUCAACGGAUAAAAGGUACUCCGGGGAUAACAGGCUGAUACCGCCCAAGAGUUCAUAUCGACGGCGGUGUUUGGCACCUCGAUGUCGGCUCAUCACAUCCUGGGGCUGAAGUAGGUCCCAAGGGUAUGGCUGUUCGCCAUUUAAAGUGGUACGCGAGCUGGGUUUAGAACGUCGUGAGACAGUUUA
This 555-nucleotide ribosomal RNA is filed under the name Pasteurella multocida. Its description in RNAcentral is "partial 23S ribosomal RNA". It matches the Rfam family "Bacterial large subunit ribosomal RNA", at positions 2079 to 2633 of the family's 2925-position model. Lineage: Bacteria; Pseudomonadati; Pseudomonadota; Gammaproteobacteria; Pasteurellales; Pasteurellaceae. The record is from RNAcentral.